GACGAACGCUGGCGGCGUGCUUAACACAUGCAAGUCGAACGGAAAGGCCCUGCUUGUGUGGGGUGCUCGAGUGGCGAACGGGGGAGUAACACGUGAGUAACCUGCCCUUGACUUUGGGAUAACUUCAGGAAACUGGGGCUAAUACCGGAUAGGAGCUCCUGCUGCAUGGUGGGGGUUGGAAAGUUUCGGCGGUUGGGGAUGGACUCGCGGCUUAUCAGCUUGUUGGUGGGGGAGUGGCUUACCAAGGCGUUGACGGGUAGCCGGCCUGGGAGGGUGACCGGCCACAUUGGGACUGAGAUACGGCCCAGACUCCUACGGGAGGCAGCAGUGGGGAAUAUUGCACAAUGGGCGGAAGCCUGAUGCAGCAACGCCGCGUGCGGGAUGACGGCCUUCGGGUUGUAAACCGCUUUCGCCUGUGACGAAGCGUGAGUGACGGUAAUGGGUAAAGAAGCACCGGCUAACUACGUG
Molecule: ribosomal RNA, 468 nt
Filed under: uncultured bacterium
Lineage: Bacteria
Description: partial 16S ribosomal RNA
Rfam family: Bacterial small subunit ribosomal RNA
Source: RNAcentral